AUUAUUUUUCAAUCUCAACAAUCACUAAAUAACUCUAUGUUUGGUUUCAUUAAAGCUUCACCAAAUUACUAAAAUCAAUGUCAAUCUCCGAGUAAGUACCAUAAACCUAAUCAAACCAAUGUCAAUCUCCAUAUUCUUUUUUGUAAUCUCUCUUCGCCAUCUCUCUUCGAUUAAAGUGCGCAACCUAGGGUUUACGGAUAAUUUGAAGUGUGCAACCUACAGUUUACGGAUAAUUUGAAGAUCUCUUUAAUGUCUUCACCUACUAAAGUUGCUGACUGGAAUUAGGAAGGAAGCAGAGACCGACUUUAAAUGUUACAGCAGGAAUGGAAGAAGUUCUCCAGAAUAUUAGAAAUGCAGUUUGAUAAAGAGCUUAACUAAAAAGUUGCCAUCAUUGGCGGAAAUGUUCAUUGCCACGCGCAAGAGAAAAGCAGGCCGUUUUUACAAGGAAUUAAGGGAAGAUACAACU
Mercurialis annua (annual mercury) is the source of this 466-nucleotide long non-coding RNA. RefSeq lists it as uncharacterized. NCBI's taxonomy places the organism in Eukaryota, Viridiplantae, Streptophyta, Magnoliopsida, Malpighiales, Euphorbiaceae. The record is from RefSeq and is a predicted model, not a curated record. The transcript is spliced from 5 exons.